UAUGAAGAACGCAGCGAAAUGCGAUACUUGGUGUGAAUUGCAGAAUCCCGUGAACCAUCGAGUCUUUGAACGCAAGUUGCGCCCGAAGCCUCGGCUAAGGGCACGUCUGCCUGGGCGUCACGCAUCGCGUCUCCCCCAAACCGCCAAGGCGGAGGGGAAGGAAGAUGGCUUCCCGUGCCUCACCCGGCGCGGUUGGCCUAAAUUUGGAGCCCGCGGCACUUAGCUCUCGCGGCGAUAGGUGGUGAACAAGGCCUUGGCCGUGCAAACAACCCGCUGCGAAGCUCUAUGUCACGUGCGCUCGUCGGACCCUUUGAAGUUGCCUUCGGUGACUUAAAACCUUUGCGACCCCAGGUCAGGCGGGGCUACCCGCUGAAUUUAAGCAUAUCAAUAAGCGGAGGA
This 399-nucleotide unclassified non-coding RNA is filed under the name soil metagenome. RNAcentral describes it as "partial contains 5.8S ribosomal RNA, internal transcribed spacer 2, and large subunit ribosomal RNA". The stretch from base 2 to 120 matches the Rfam family "5.8S ribosomal RNA", at positions 36 to 154 of the family's 154-position model. The record is from RNAcentral.